This 253-nucleotide ribosomal RNA is filed under the name uncultured bacterium. Its description in RNAcentral is "partial 16S ribosomal RNA". It matches the Rfam family "Bacterial small subunit ribosomal RNA", at positions 524 to 776 of the family's 1533-position model. The record is from RNAcentral.
UACGGAGGGUGCAAGCGUUAUCCGGAUUCACUGGGUUUAAAGGGUGCGUAGGUGGGCAAGUAAGUCAGUGGUGAAAUCUCCGGGCUUAACCCGGAAACUACCAUUGAUACUAUUUGUCUUGAAUACUGUGGAGGUCAGCGGAAUAUGUCAUGUAGCGGUGAAAUGCUUAGAUAUGACAUAGAACACCAAUUGCGAAGGCAGCUGGCUACACAAAUAUUGACACUGAGGCACGAAAGCGUGGGGAGCAAACAGG